UACGUAGGUCCCGAGCGUUGUCUGGAUUUAUUGGGCGUAAAGCGAGCGCAGGUGGUUUAUUAAGUCUGGUGUAAAAGGCAGUGGCUCAACCAUUGUAUGCAUUGGAAACUGGUAGACUUGAGUGCAGGAGAGGAGAGUGGAAUUCCAUGUGUAGCGGUGAAAUGCGUAGAUAUAUGGAGGAACACCGGUGGCGAAAGCGGCUCCCUGGCCUGUAACUGACACUGAGGCUCGAAAGCGUGGGGAGCAAACUGG
RNAcentral lists this ribosomal RNA (252 nucleotides) under uncultured bacterium. RNAcentral's name for it is "partial 16S ribosomal RNA". It matches the Rfam family "Bacterial small subunit ribosomal RNA", at positions 524 to 776 of the family's 1533-position model. The record is from RNAcentral.